Molecule: long non-coding RNA, 1107 nt
Filed under: Gallus gallus (chicken)
Lineage: Eukaryota; Metazoa; Chordata; Aves; Galliformes; Phasianidae
Source: RNAcentral
GGGGUGGAGUGCUGUUAGAGCCGCCCGCCUGAUUACCUCAGAGGCUCUGAGCGCUUUCGCGCGUUUCCAGGGCGCUGUGUGGUGCAGCUCCUGCGGCUAGUUGGGCUCGACUGUACUUUCCCUGCCCGGCCCAGGAGUUGUGUUGUGACAGUUGUGUUUUUGCACCGGAAAUUCUACUAGCUGUGUGUGUUGAAAAAGGCACUUACACAAGCAAACCACCAAUGGUGCGUUCUCUCAGAGAUAGCCAAGUCAGCAGGCGGUGGAGAAUUCCAUCACAAGAGAUAAGGAAGUAAGCUGAGAAAAACAAGUUAAAGGCUGUGAAACAUCACUGGCAAAUGAAUUUCCUAAGAAGAAGAAAUUCAAGGUUGAUAAUAUAACUCUGCCCAACAAGCUUUGUGUAGGUGGUGAACCUGAAGUAUUCAGGCAGUGAGGAUCCAGGAGAGGGAACUAGUGCUGGUGAAUAAUAGUGACGGUGGUGAAUAAUAGAUGACACUUCUCCCACAAGUGUGUUCCUGCUUACAGGAUGCCUGGCAUUGCCACUGCGAAUAAACCUACUUUGUAUGAGACCUUGCCUCAGAAAAUUACUGAGACAUUUCUGACAGUCUGGGAGCUCAUCAAGGAUCCAGUCGCUUGUUGGGGUUAUCACACCACUGUAAACAGGAGAGGCGCACUGCACUGAUUUCAGUGGUUCUCUUGGAGGUGAUGGAGGUGAUUUCCCAGCACAGCUGAUGGAAAACCAAAGCUGUUCUACUGAAAGGCAGGCUCUGCGAAGUCUCAGGGAAUUAUAGCCACCAUCAUCGAAAAUUAGACCCGGUAUCUCUGUGCAUGGACCAAGCUGAAAGAUUUACUUAUCUUCUGAAGUAAAGUAGCAAUCAAGCUUUCCUCUGGGCUGCUUUUUAUGGAGACACAAGUUUAAUGGCAUAGUGCAGUAGAAAAAUGAGUGCUGAAAUAUUUUUCACAGUCAGGAGUGGUUGGAGGAUCACGUGUUGAACACAACAUUCCUUUAUAAAAACUGUGGAGACAGCAGUAUGCAAAGUGCAGGUUAGGUCUCAGUGAGUGAAGAAAGCAUGGAAUCUUCUCUUAAAAAAAAAGAGAAAAGAGAGGAGA